CAACUUUCAACAACGGAUCUCUUGGCUCUCGCAUCGAUGAAGAACGCAGCGAAAUGCGAUAAGUAAUGUGAAUUGCAGAAUUCAGUGAAUCAUCGAAUCUUUGAACGCACCUUGCACUCCUUGGUAUUCCGGGGAGUAUGCCUGUUUGAGUGUCA
RNAcentral lists this ribosomal RNA (155 nucleotides) under Pyrrhoderma noxium. RNAcentral describes it as "5.8S ribosomal RNA". It matches the Rfam family "5.8S ribosomal RNA". From Rfam's summary of the family: 5.8S ribosomal RNA (5.8S rRNA) is a component of the large subunit of the eukaryotic ribosome. It is transcribed by RNA polymerase I as part of the 45S precursor that also contains 18S and 28S rRNA. The record is from RNAcentral. Lineage: Eukaryota; Fungi; Basidiomycota; Agaricomycetes; Hymenochaetales; Hymenochaetaceae.